ACAUGCUUACAACAUAGCGUUGAUUCAAUGGAUCCCAUUAGAAAUCCAUAGUGAAGCGCACUCGGGCUAGAGUAGUACUGGGAUGGUGACUUCCUGGGAAUUCCUAGUAUUUUACAUGCC
This is a non-coding RNA of Picea glauca (white spruce), 120 nucleotides long. Lineage: Eukaryota; Viridiplantae; Streptophyta; Pinopsida; Pinales; Pinaceae. The record is from Rfam.